RNAcentral lists this ribosomal RNA (497 nucleotides) under uncultured bacterium. RNAcentral's name for it is "partial 16S ribosomal RNA". It matches the Rfam family "Bacterial small subunit ribosomal RNA", at positions 28 to 507 of the family's 1533-position model. The record is from RNAcentral.
GAUGAACGCUGGCGGCGUGCCUAAUACAUGCAAGUCGAGCGAACAGAUGAGGAGCUUGCUCCUCUGACGUUAGCGGCGGACGGGUGAGUAACACGUGGAUAACCUACCUAUAAGACUGGGAUAACUUCGGGAAACCGGAGCUAAUACCGGAUAAUAUAUUGAACCGCAUGGUUCAAUAGUGAAAGACGGUUUUGCUGUCACUUAUAGAUGGAUCCGCGCCGCAUUAGCUAGUUGGUAAGGUAACGGCUUACCAAGGCAACGUUGCAUAGCCGACCUGAGAGGGUGAUCGGCCACACUGGAACUGAGACACGGUCCAGACUCCUACGGGAGGCAGCAGUAGGGAAUCUUCCGCAAUGGGCGAAAGCCUGACGGAGCAACGCCGCGUGAGUGAUGAAGGUCUUCGGAUCGUAAAACUCUGUUAUUAGGGAAGAACAAAUGUGUAAGUAACUAUGCACGUCUUGACGGUACCUAAUCAGAAAGCCACGGCUAACUACGUG